RNAcentral lists this ribosomal RNA (253 nucleotides) under uncultured bacterium. RNAcentral's name for it is "partial 16S ribosomal RNA". It matches the Rfam family "Bacterial small subunit ribosomal RNA", at positions 524 to 776 of the family's 1533-position model. The record is from RNAcentral.
GACGGAGGAUGCAAGUGUUAUCCGGAAUCACUGGGCGUAAAGCGUCUGUAGGUGGUUUAGCAAGUCUGCUGUUAAAGCUUGAAGCUUAACUUCAAAAAUGCAGUGGAAACUUCUAGACUCGAGUGUGGUAGGGGUAGAGGGAAUUUCCAGUGGAGCGGUGAAAUGCGUAGAUAUUGGAAAGACCACCAAUGGCGAAGGCACUCUACUGGGCCAUAACUGACACUGAGAGACGAAAGCUAGGGGAGCAAAUGGG